AUGAACGCUGGCUGCGUGCCUAAUACCUGCCAGUCGAGCGAACGGACGAGAAGCUUGCUUCUCUGAUGUUAGCGGCGGACGGGUGAGUAACACGUGGAUAACCUACCUAUAAGCCUGGGAUAACUUCGGGAAACCGGAGCUAAUACCGGAUAAUAUUUUGAACCGCAUGGUUCAAAAGUGAAAGACGGUCUUGCUGUCACUUAUAGAUGGAUCCGCGCUGCAUUAGCUAGUUGGUAAGGUAACGGCUUACCAAGGCAACGAUGCAUAGCCGACCUGAGAGGGUGAUCGGCCACACUGGAACUGAGACACGGUCCAGACUCCUACGGGAGGCAGCAGUAGGGAAUCUUCCGCAAUGGGCGAAAGCCUGACGGAGCAACGCCGCGUGAGUGAUGAAGGUCUUCGGAUCGUAAAACUCUGUUAUUAGGGAAGAACAUAUGUGUAAGUAACUGUGCACAUCUUGACGGUACCUAAUCAGAAAGCCACGGCUAACUACGUG
Molecule: ribosomal RNA, 496 nt
Filed under: uncultured bacterium
Lineage: Bacteria
Description: partial 16S ribosomal RNA
Rfam family: Bacterial small subunit ribosomal RNA
Source: RNAcentral